This is a long non-coding RNA of Bubalus bubalis (water buffalo), 1346 nucleotides long. RefSeq lists it as uncharacterized. NCBI's taxonomy places the organism in Eukaryota, Metazoa, Chordata, Mammalia, Artiodactyla, Bovidae. The transcript has 2 exons. The record is from RefSeq and is a predicted model, not a curated record.
GACUCAAGUCUAAUGAGAGGAGAUCCCCUUGGCCCGCCCCACCCUGAAAAUGGGCUUAAAAGCCGAUCCUCCUGCUGUUUUCAGGCUUCCCUUAUUUAGACAACUUCUUGGCUCUUUUUUUUUCCUCCCCAUUUCACAGUUUGUUUUUGGGAUAGGGUGGAGUGGAGAGGCAGGCAGGAGGCCUGGCUAGGGUGUGUUUGUUGUGUCCUGGCUGUUUGUACUUGGAGCUGGAGCUGACCCCAGCUGGGGCCCAAGAGACCCAGGGGCUGGAGGAAUGUCAAGCUUAGGUCUCAGGCCUGCCUCUGGCACCCACCAGAAGUCACGGGGCAUGGAAUAUUAGACUCACGUGAAGCAGGGAAUUCGUACCAGAGCCAAGAAUGCUUGCAGCAGUCAGGGAAUGACCAUGUGGAAGGAGUCCAGCUCCCCCAGCUCAUAGGCCUACGGAGUCUCCAAGACAGAGUGGCUUUCUUACACCCACCCAGGGCUACGCCCUACCAGCCCAGACGGCUCUCUUCACUCGGCUGGGCCCAGGUGCACCUCACCUUAACAGCAAGUCAUCCAGGACUGGCCAGAACAGAAAAGCAAUGCUGUCAAGCCAUCGUGGUUCAGAACAGCUGGUCCAGUUCAAGGUUCUCACUUUAUAAAUGAGGAAACUGAGGCCCAGAGAAGAGAAAGGACAAGUCCAAGACCACACAGGGAGUUAGAGGCAGAGCUGGUUCCCCAACUUACAGCCCAUCGUUCACUGACUCUACUAGUCUGGAGGCAGACUGUGGAGCAACAGUUGGGCAAAGAGGAAGGCCUCAAGGUUGUUGUCACACUGCUCGAUGCAGGGAACAUCGGAUCUAUGCUAGGCACUGGGCUUUAUCCUGACCAUCCCAUUUAAUCCUCCCAGCAGGCCUGGCCCCAUUUCUGGCCCCUAUCCUACUUCCCUAUUUUUGAACAACAGCCUCAGCUUUCCAGUUCUCCAGAUUGGAAACAUCUGAAUCACCAUUUUCUACACUGUCGUUUCCUCGUUUCUGUUCAGCUCUCCCUUCACGACGGUCUACUUCUGGCUCUCAUCACCACUUGCCUGCAUUAUUCUAACAGCUUCCAGUCUCCACCAUCCCAUCCAAUAACACCGGCAUGCCGGUAGUCUCCCUCACAGCCUGCCUGGUGGCUGUCUAAACUGACAAGUGAUGCAGAAGUAAUGACCAUAGUUAUUUCUCCAAGUUUCCAUAGCACUCACCAGCUUGUUCAAUGCUUUUAAUAUUAUUAUCUUGUGCAAUGAAUUAGGAGACUUGAGUUCUAGUCCAGUUUGAAUUCUUGGGCAAGUCAAGACCAUGUGGGCAAAUGUGUUUCGCCACUCC